RNAcentral lists this long non-coding RNA (2803 nucleotides) under Citrus sinensis (sweet orange). Its description in RNAcentral is "long non-coding RNA (CSIN_LNC005588)". The record is from RNAcentral. Lineage: Eukaryota; Viridiplantae; Streptophyta; Magnoliopsida; Sapindales; Rutaceae.
AACUUUGUAAACUCCGCAGAACAAAAUUAAUUUGAGUGAGCAAACUCACCAAUGGCACAAGAACAGAAGGGCUUCAACUUCUAGGAACAAAAAAAAUUGCCGGUGGGACAAAAAUUGACAUUAAUGGCUACAAUACGAAUUAAAGAAAUCAAAACCUAUAAUUACAAGCUAAGAAAGAGAAGAAACUCAUAAUCACAAGCUUACCUGAAACGAUGAGAGAGAGAAUAAGAUGAAGAAGAAGAUCGCUGCCGUUUUACGCCAUUCUCCGGCUACCAGUAAGGUUUAGGAUGGCCAGGCACGCACGGGAGAGAAUUUGGGACUUUGGUUUUCAAAAUAUUGACUUCAGCAAAUAGUUUUCUAUUUAGAAACAAAUUUAUAACUCUACCGUCAAAAUAAUAGAAUGCCAAUUGGCUCUCUACCGUCACGUGGUCAGUAACAUAAGUGAGAGCAGUCUAGCCGUCACAUAAACGGUCACAAAAGCAACUGGCUGUUACAAGUUUAGGAAUGGCAGAUAUUGCCGCGGGGACAUGACCCUCGAGAUUUUCCCAAUUCAGGAGGGUACAUAAUUUUUUACUUAAUUUUUUAUUUGGAAAGGGGACGGAGAUAGGGAUGGAGAUAGUUUUUUUACCCAAUUAAAUUUCUUAUUCAGAGAAAGAAUGGGGAUGCGGCGGAAUCCCUAUCCCUUUCUAAUUUUUUGAUUUAAUUUUAAUUUUUUUAAAAUUAUUUGUAAAUAAAUAAUAAAAUAUUAGUAUAAAUAAAAAAAAUUAAAAUAAUUAUAUUAUUAAAAUUUAGGCCUAACUGACUACAUUAAUAUUUGGAUGAGAAAGUUAUGCCACGGAUGAAAGAUUUUAAUAAUUUGAGUUGGUGUAAAAUAAAUGUCUAUAGAUAUCCUAUAUUGGCACCUAGAGAUAUUUUGGCAAUUCUAAUUACAAAUGUUGCUUCUGAAUUAGCUUUUAGCACCAGUGGUAGAGUACCGUAACACGCUUUAUUCAAGCACAUUGGAGGCUUUAAUAUGUUGUCAAAGUUGACCACAAGCUUACAAUGGCAGUAUGAGUUUAUUUUAAUUAGAAUUUACAUUACUUAUAUCAUUUUUAUUGUUUUAAAUUUGAAAUCUGAGGCUAUCUCUCAAUUUGUCACAUUCCUAUGAAUAUUUUUUAUAAGAAAUCAACAAUAUUGUUGAAAGAAAAACCAAAUAAAAAUAAUAAAGCAAUGCAUAGAUUAAGGCUCUUUAUUAUCUAAUAACUAAUCAAACUAAGUUGUGGGUAAAGGCGAAUAUGUUUGUUUGGCCAAUAAUAAACUCAAGGAAUCACCAAUAAUCACCUAGUUACUAUUCCUUAUGCCAUGCAAUGUAAUGGCGUCGGUAAUGGCGACAAGGCAGGCAAUAACUAGCUAGCUAGUUAUGAUAGUUGCUUAACUUAACCUACUGGAAAUCUGAAGACCAAAAUGAAGAAACUUUGCCUAGAACUAGAAUAGGAAAACAUUCAUACCCAAAACCAAUAUACAUGAUUAAGAAACUUGAUUAUAUGUAUAUUUUUGUUUGCCACACCAAAUCCCACUAUUUCCAUACUCAUAAGCACAAAAAACCAUCGCAAAAAUGAAUGACCAUAUAAAAUAAAAUAGGUCGUAGGACAUUGAGAAUAGGACAACAUGAUUUAUGUACCGUAAAAUAACUAUAUCUGCAGUCAACUAUAUUUCUGUUAGAACUCUAAAGUUUUCCAUUAAAUUUUUUUCCCUGUUAGGUAAACCACUUAACUGAAACACUUAAGCAAGAUUGACAAUCAUAGACAUACAAGUAUUAAUAGGCUCGUUCAAGUGAAAUGAGCAUUAUUUCACAUAUCCUUUAGGCUUUUAAGUCAUUUAGAAGUCAUUCAUGUUAAACAAUUUCUUCAUAUACUUUCAAUAUAAUUAGUACAUACACAAUUAAUUAAUUAAAUAAAUCUGUUUCAGCUAGCACAGGAACUUAAGCAAUCAGAGCUAUUAGUUAUAGCUAGGACUUGAAUGAGGCACCUUUCAAAGUUCAAGAGGAGCAUCUGAACAGAAUGAAAGCAUUUUGUAGAAAUGGUAGUGAUGCUUUACAUCUACAUGCUCUUACACAAUAUGAACUUUCAUUUAUUCAAGAACAUAACACUAAUCCAAGCUCUUACUCUACAAGUCAAUUCAGUUUGUAGAUGCAAGCCAUUGUAAAAACUUUUGUGUUAUAAUUUCCGAAAAUGGAACAUGACAUUACUAAUAUAGAAUCAGCAAUGUUAUAUAACUUAUCAGACAAUAUAACAAGCACUUGGCGAGCAUAUAAGAUAAACUAAAACAAGUUAAUUAGAAAAUGAAACUAAAACCCAAGCUCCGCUAUUCAUUGUAGAAGCUUUAAACAUAAAAUUAAAGUAAAUCUAAUAGCAAAACAUUAGAAUGGAUGUUGGAAUUAAAGCUAAAUUCAAUAGUAAUCCAAAUGAAUCCAUUUGAACUUUGUAAACUCCGCAGAACAAAAUUAAUUUGAGUGAGCAAACUCACCAAUGGCACAAGAACAGAAGGGCUUCAACUUCUAGGAACAAAAAAAAUUGCCGGUGGGACAAAAAUUGACAUUAAUGGCUACAAUACGAAUUAAAGAAAUCAAAACCUAUAAUUACAAGCUAAGAAAGAGAAGAAACUCAUAAUCACAAGCUUACCUGAAACGAUGAGAGAGAGAAUAAGAUGAAGAAGAAGAUCGCUGCCGUUUUACGCCAUUCUCCGGCUACCAGUAAGGUUUAGGAUGGCCAGGCACGCACGGGAGAGAAUUUGGGACUUUGGUUUUCAAAAUAUUGACUUCAGC